GGGCGGAUAGCUCAGCGGGAGAGCGCUUGACUCACAUUCAAGAGGUCCAGGGUUCGAUCCCCUGUCCGCCCACCA
RNAcentral lists this transfer RNA (75 nucleotides) under Bacillota bacterium. RNAcentral's name for it is "tRNA-Val". It matches the Rfam family "tRNA". From Rfam's summary of the family: Transfer RNA (tRNA) molecules are approximately 80 nucleotides in length. Their secondary structure includes four short double-helical elements and three loops (D, anti-codon, and T loops). The record is from RNAcentral. Lineage: Bacteria; Bacillati; Bacillota.